GAUGAAGAACGUAGCGAAAUGCGAUACGUAGUGUGAAUUGCAGAAUUCAGUGAAUCAUCGCAUCUUUGAACGCACAUUGCACCUCUCGGUAUUCCGGGAGGUAUGCCUGUUCGAGCGUCAUUUGUACCCUCAAGCUCUGCUUGGUGUUGGGUGUUUGUUCCGCCUCUGUGUGUGAACUCGCCUCAAAACAAUUGGCAGCCGGCGUACUUGUUUCGGAGCGCAGCACAUUUUGCGAUCCAGAUCAACGUACAGCGGCAUCCAAGAAGCCUUAUUUAACGCUCUUGACCUCGGAUCAGGUAGGGAUACCCGCUGAACUUAAGCAUAUCAAUAAGCGGAGGA
RNAcentral lists this unclassified non-coding RNA (339 nucleotides) under soil metagenome. RNAcentral's name for it is "partial contains 5.8S ribosomal RNA, internal transcribed spacer 2, and large subunit ribosomal RNA". The stretch from base 1 to 120 matches the Rfam family "5.8S ribosomal RNA", at positions 35 to 154 of the family's 154-position model. The record is from RNAcentral.